Molecule: long non-coding RNA, 1147 nt
Organism: Populus nigra (black poplar)
Lineage: Eukaryota; Viridiplantae; Streptophyta; Magnoliopsida; Malpighiales; Salicaceae
Exons: 2
Source: RefSeq, a predicted model, not a curated record
CUGGAGGGAGGGUAGCAGAGUGCAUCUUUCAUAGGGCACACUAUAAGAUGACACCGCCGCCGCAAGAAGAAGGGGGAGAGAGACGGACACAAGUAAGAAAUCUUCAAUGGCAAUGUGGGUUGCCGAGUCUCUGAAAAUUCCUUCUGGCUUAAUUGUCUUGUUUAUUCAACGAAAAACGAAGAUAGUAAUAAUAAUUAACAAAGGCAUAUCUAGUGAAGGUGAAUCUGGAAGAGAUGAGGGAAAGAUGAAGUUCGGAAAGCAGUUCAAGCAACAAAAGGUGGACUGGUGCUUACGUGGAUUAUAAUGGUCUUAAAAAGAAUACUGGGAGUGAUCUUGCAGUACAAGCAAAGCAGGCACCCCUCAACACCUUUGAGAUCCAUACACCACAAAUUAACUUUGCACAGACCCUUCAGACUUCAGUGGACUAAACCUGCAAUCUACCAAUCUCUCCAGUAAAGGAGAUAUUGAGGACCAAGUGAUAGAUGUUAACGCGUUGCCCCAGGAUGGCUGUAGAAAGUUUUGCACGACUCAGUUCCUGAGGGAGUCUGAAGAAGGAGGCGAACUAGAGGUUAAGUUCUUUAGGAAACUUGAUGAACAACUUAACAAGUUUAACACUUUUUACAAGGAUAAGUUGGACGAGAUGAAGCAUGAAGCAUCUUUGCUGAAUAAACAAAUGGAUGCCUUUAUUGCCUUGCGUAUUAAGGUGGAGAGCCCUGGUUUUGACGACUCUUGUGCGAAGAAAAGUUGUGAUACCGGUGUUGUUACCACAAACCCCUUGAAGAGCUGUAGCCCAAGCAGAGACACACCUUGAGGUAUGAGAACAUAAAAAGUGUGAUCUGUCAGCUGAGUUGCAAAGCAUCAAUAUGGCUUUUUAGAUGUUGAAUAAGAAGCAAGACACCAUGGAGAGAUCAGAAAAAUGGACCAAGAAUGGUUGUAGCUGUUUUAAGUUGGGUACAAAGUAGAAGAAGCUAUAAUCGAAGUAUUUUUUUAUUGGCCGAGUUUAUGAAGUUUUUGAUCUUCCUCACCCCGUAAAUUCAAAUCUGCAAGAUAUUUUGGUUUUAAUUCUGCGAAGGACUAUAGCUCUGUAUUAUAUGAAAUAUUAUUUUCAGGAUUGGAGGAUAUGGAUGUUGGACGCGGUGUUGAGAAA